GAACGAACGCUGGCGGCGUGGAUAAGACAUGCAAGUCGAGCGCGAAUUUCGGUGUAGCAAUACAUCGGAGUUUGAGCGGCGCAAGGGUGCGUAACACGUGGUAAUUUGCCGUGAAGUUGGGGAUAACUCGCUGAAAGGCGAGCUAAUACCGAAUGUGGAAUGGAGGUGGCAUCACUUUUUUUCUAAAGCUGGGGAUCGUAAGACCUGGCGCUUCAUGAUAAGCCCGCGGCCUAUCAGCUAGUUGGUGCGGUAACGGCGCACCAAGGCUAAGACGGGUAGCUGGUCUGAGAGGACGACCAGCCACACUGGAACUGAGACACGGUCCAGACACCUACGGGUGGCAGCAGUCGAGAAUUUUUCUCAAUGGGCGCAAGCCUGAAGGAGCGACGCCGCGUGUGGGAUGAAGGGUUUCGAUCCGUAAACCACUGUCAUUUGUGAACAAUGGUCAUUAUUUAAAAGUGGUGACUUGAUAGUAAUGAAAGAGGAAGGGACGGCUAACUCUGUGCCAGCAGCCGCGGUAAUACAGAGGUCCCGAGCGUUGUUCGGAUUCACUGGGCGUAAAGGGUGCGUAGGUGGCAUGGUAAGUUUGAUGUGAAAGCUCAGGGCUCAACCCUGAAAUGGCAUUGAAUACUACUGUGCUGGGAGGUUUGGAGGGGGGACUGGAAUUCUUGGUGUAGCAGUGAAAUGCGUAGAUAUCAAGAGGAACACCAGUGGCGAAGGCGAGUCCCUGGACAACACCUGACACUGAGGCACGAAAGCUAGGGGAGCAAACAGGAUUAGAUACCCUGGUAGUCCUAGCCCUAAACGGUGCGCAUUUGUGUAGGAGGAAUCGACCCCUUCUGUGGCGAAGCUAACGCGAUAAAUGCG
RNAcentral lists this ribosomal RNA (867 nucleotides) under uncultured bacterium. RNAcentral's name for it is "bacterial SSU rRNA". It matches the Rfam family "Bacterial small subunit ribosomal RNA", at positions 27 to 868 of the family's 1533-position model. The record is from RNAcentral.